GAUGUCCAUGCUCCUGGUGCAGCUUCCCAGAUUCGUCUUGCAUCUACAAGGGAUUUGAACUUAAAUAUAUCUGUGUCUAAUGCCAACACAAUAUUUCAGGCCUAUGCCAGCUGGAAUAACCUCAGCCAUGUCAAGGAGUCCUACCAGGAUGCAGUCUCACCAAUUGGAGGAAGCAGGUCCAUCAUUGAUGUUCAUCACAGAAGAAAUUACUUCAUUAU
Molecule: unclassified non-coding RNA, 218 nt
Filed under: Hevea brasiliensis (rubber tree)
Lineage: Eukaryota; Viridiplantae; Streptophyta; Magnoliopsida; Malpighiales; Euphorbiaceae
Source: RNAcentral